AACGAACGCUGGCGGCGCGCCUAAUACAUGCAAGUCGAGCGAGAAGACGUAGCAAUACGUUUGUAAAGCGGCGAACGGGUGAGGAAUACAUGGGUAACCUACCCUCGAGUGGGGAAUAACUAGCCGAAAGGUUAGCUAAUACCGCGUACGCUCCUUGGACUUCGGUUCAGGGAGGAAAGCGAUACCGUGGGUAUCGCGCUCUUGGAUGGGCUCAUGUCCUAUCAGCUUGUUGGUGAGGAACGGCUCACCAAGGCUUCGACGGGUAGCUGGUCUGAGAGGACGAUCAGCCACACUGGCACUGCGACACGGGCCAGACUCCUACGGGAGGCAGCAGUAAGGAAUAUUGCGCAAUGGGCGAAAGCCCUGACGCAGCGACGCCGCGUGGGGGAUGAAGGUC
RNAcentral lists this ribosomal RNA (397 nucleotides) under uncultured bacterium. Its description in RNAcentral is "bacterial SSU rRNA". It matches the Rfam family "Bacterial small subunit ribosomal RNA", at positions 29 to 416 of the family's 1533-position model. The record is from RNAcentral.